This 30-nucleotide small RNA is filed under the name Bombyx mori (domestic silkworm). RNAcentral's name for it is "ovarian small RNA-6279". The record is from RNAcentral. Lineage: Eukaryota; Metazoa; Arthropoda; Insecta; Lepidoptera; Bombycidae.
UAGACUCGCCCUGCCACCGCACGCACGUCU